AUGCUCGCUUUAGCUGCACAUGUACUAAAAUUGGAAUGAUACAGAGAUUAGGAUGGCCCUGACCAAGGAUGACAUGCAAAUUUAUGAAGCAUUCCAUAUUUUU
Molecule: small nuclear RNA, 103 nt
Organism: Sarcophilus harrisii (Tasmanian devil)
Lineage: Eukaryota; Metazoa; Chordata; Mammalia; Dasyuromorphia; Dasyuridae
Source: Ensembl